Molecule: long non-coding RNA, 393 nt
Organism: Cuculus canorus (common cuckoo)
Lineage: Eukaryota; Metazoa; Chordata; Aves; Cuculiformes; Cuculidae
Exons: 3
Source: RefSeq, a predicted model, not a curated record
AUUUCUGCCAGGCCUUCAGGAGGGCUCAUGGUACCUCCCUCAUCGCAGAGAAGUGUCUGACUACUGGCACCACAUGGAGCAAAACACAUUUGGUAAAAAAGGAGAUGAACCAAAAGAACAGCUUUUAGAUAUCAUAGAUCACUUGGAUCACAUGUGACUGUCAUAUUCCUGAGUGAGCAUUGCGGAUUUUAGAAACAGUAGUGCCUUUACCUCCUCGAUAAGUACAUGCAGUCCUCAUCUUCAGGACAAGCUGCUUCAUUCCACUCCACCACUGGAGCACUUCACACCCCACUCUGAUGAUGCACAAGGAAACCAGGACUGUGGACUCUUGCCUGUUCUGAACUGACUAGGUAGUUGCUUCUUUUGACCUAAGGAAUUUAAUAAAUUAAUAAA